This 253-nucleotide ribosomal RNA is filed under the name uncultured bacterium. RNAcentral's name for it is "partial 16S ribosomal RNA". It matches the Rfam family "Bacterial small subunit ribosomal RNA", at positions 524 to 776 of the family's 1533-position model. The record is from RNAcentral.
UACGUAGGGGGCAAGCGUUGUCCGGAAUUAUUGGGCGUAAAGAGCGUGUAGGCGGUCCGGUAAGUCAGCUGUGAAAGUCAAGGGCUCAACCCUUGAAAGCCGGUUGAUACUGUCGGGCUAGAGUCCGGAAGAGGCGAGUGGAAUUCCCGGUGUAGCGGUGAAAUGCGCAGAUAUCGGGAAGAACACCCGUGGCGAAGGCGGUUCUCUGGGACGGUAUUGACACUGAUGAGCGAAAGCCAGGGGAGCAAACGGG